AUCUCAAAUCAAGUAAGACUACCCGCUGAACUUAAGCAUAUCAAUAAGCGGAGGAAAAGAAACUAACAAGGAUUCCCCUAGUAACGGCGAGUGAAGCGGGAUGAGCUCAAAUUUAAAAUCUGGCUGGUUUACUAGUCCGAAUUGUAGUUUAAAGAAGCGUUUUCGGUGGCAGCCUGGGUAUAAAUCCUUUGGAACAGGGUAUCAUAGAGGGUGAGAAUCCCGUCUUUGACUCAGUGCAUGCUACUAUGUGAUACGUUUUCAAAGAGUCGAGUUGUUUGGGAAUGCAGCUCAAAAUGGGUGGUAAAUUUCAUCUAAGGCUAAAUAUUGGCGAGAGACCGAUAGCGAACAAGUACCGUGAGGGAAAGAUGAAAAGAACUUUGAAAAGAGAGUUAAACAGUGCGUGAAAUUGUUGAAAGGGAAACGCUUGACACCAGUCAUGCGAGCGGAAAAUCAGUCUUUUGCAGUGGGGAGUUGUGUGGGUUCGGACCGCAAGGCCGGCCUGUGCUGCAUCUCUGCUGUAAGUGAUGCACUUUUUCGUUUGCAGGCCAACAUCAGUUUCUUCUGCUGGACAAAACUCUUGAGAAGGUAGCAGCUUUGGCUGUGUUAUAGCUCUUGAGCGAUACAGUGGAGGGGACUGAGGUUUUCGCAGCGCGUGCUCUCGGGCAAGGCUGAUUGGGUGCUAUGGGAUCGUUCGGUGUACAAUGCAUGCAUUUUGCGCCGUGUCUUUUCUAUACUCGCUCAACUCGGCUCUC
Molecule: ribosomal RNA, 752 nt
Filed under: Mortierella sp. BESC15a
Lineage: Eukaryota; Fungi; Mortierellomycota; Mortierellomycetes; Mortierellales; Mortierellaceae
Description: eukaryotic LSU rRNA
Rfam family: Eukaryotic large subunit ribosomal RNA
Source: RNAcentral